RNAcentral lists this long non-coding RNA (211 nucleotides) under Elaeis guineensis (African oil palm). RNAcentral describes it as "long non-coding RNA (EGUI_LNC066539)". Lineage: Eukaryota; Viridiplantae; Streptophyta; Magnoliopsida; Arecales; Arecaceae. The record is from RNAcentral.
AUGGGUGGAAGAACCAAUUUUUCUUUGCUUCCUCUUCGCUAUCUUGGGGGUUUCCUUUCCGCUGGGGCGACCCUCAGACUUAGUCGAACGAAAAUAGUUGGGUGGAGGCUGGAGAUCGAGAGGACUUUCACCGACUGAAGGAUGUGUCGGUGCCGAAGCAGAGGGAACUCAUCACCGAGCAGGCUCUGUACGACGUUGGCCUAAGUUCGAU